CAGCACCUUCUAUCAAAAAUGGAAAAUUGGCUAUGGAGAUUCCGUGCGGUCAGAAAUUAAUACAGACACAAAGGGCUUCAACAGGAAAGUCGUUUCGAUCCAAUCCAUUCUUGGGGUCAAAUAAAGACAAAAAAGGAUAUGUCAGUGACCUAGCACGACAAAGCACUCUCCGAGGGCAUGGAAUGUCUAAUUUUUUGGUCAGAAUAUCCACAGUAAUGUCUCUGUUAGAUUCUCCGGUCGAAAUAAGGGAAAGGUCAAUUCAAUUCUCGAUGGAAACGGAAUUUUGCGAAUGUCAGAAAUUAAUACAGACACAAAGGUUUUACAGGAAAGUCAUUUCGAUCCAAUCCAUUCUUGAGGUCAAAUAAAGAUAAAAAAGGAUAUGUCAGUGACCUAGCACGACAAAGCACUCUCCGAGGGCAUGGAAUGUCUAAUUUUUUGGUCAGAAUAUCCACAGUAAUGUCUCUGUUAGAUUCUCCGGUCGAAAUAAGGGAAAGGUCAAUUCAAUUCUCGAUGGAAACGU
RNAcentral lists this long non-coding RNA (520 nucleotides) under Nicotiana benthamiana. Its description in RNAcentral is "long non-coding RNA (NBEN_LNC003373)". Lineage: Eukaryota; Viridiplantae; Streptophyta; Magnoliopsida; Solanales; Solanaceae. The record is from RNAcentral.